Malus domestica (apple) is the source of this 146-nucleotide non-coding RNA. The record is from RefSeq and is a predicted model, not a curated record. Lineage: Eukaryota; Viridiplantae; Streptophyta; Magnoliopsida; Rosales; Rosaceae.
AGGCAAUUUCCGGCCAAACCACGGCAAGUUAGACGUCGUGUGAGGGGCAAUUAUAGUGGCGUUUCUGUCUUCGCUAGCUGCGUGACUUUUCGACGGCGAAGUACUGACAUAGAAUCGAGGCAUACAAUCUCGGCAUCCAGGCACUU